Long non-coding RNA from Polyodon spathula (Mississippi paddlefish), 616 nucleotides. RefSeq lists it as uncharacterized. Lineage: Eukaryota; Metazoa; Chordata; Actinopteri; Acipenseriformes; Polyodontidae. The record is from RefSeq and is a predicted model, not a curated record. The transcript has 3 exons.
UUCUACUGCAGAGGCCUCUGAUUUAUUGCCAUUUUGCCAAUGGGGUUGGAGAUCCUUGUUACAUGCCAGUUAAGGAAUGGGAGACUGAAGAAAAUUUUGGUGGAAACUCUCGACAGCUACAGUGAACUCAAUGCUGCAAUGAACCUAGUGCUCUUUGAAGAUGCCAUGCAGCUUGCAUAAUUGUGCAUUUUUUAGCUGUGUGGUCUGCGCCUUGCUCAUGGGAGUGGGAGACAUUAGGAAGCAGAGUCUGUCAAGACUGGCAGCGUACAUCAGCUCUCUAGACACCCUGUGGAAAGGAUAAGGGAUCCUAGACCUGCGGGUGGAUCUGGCCAAUUUGUACAUCUAGACUGGAGCCAAGAAUAUACCCACUGUGUUUCUGCUGACAGAUGCCUAAGUCCCAGAUGAGCGCUUCCUUGUGCUAAUUAACGAUCUGUUGGAAUCGGUUGAGUCCUACACGAGUCCUGGCCCGUCUCCCCUGAGACAUAGGUGAACCUAACAGAACUGAAGACCUUCCCAAACCCCCCAAUUUCAGUAACCAAUGUGUCUGCUGCAGUGAUGGCUUUGGUUGCUCCCAGAGGUAAAGUUCCCAAGGACAGACGCUGGAAAGAUGCAAAGA